RNAcentral lists this ribosomal RNA (500 nucleotides) under uncultured Glomeromycotina. RNAcentral's name for it is "partial small subunit ribosomal RNA". It matches the Rfam family "Eukaryotic small subunit ribosomal RNA", at positions 591 to 1092 of the family's 1831-position model. Lineage: Eukaryota; Fungi; Glomeromycota. The record is from RNAcentral.
CCAAUAGCGUAUAUUAAAGUUGUUGCAGUUAAAAAGCUCGUAGUUGAAUUUCGGAAUCGACGGAUUGGUCGCGCCUUCGGUGUGUACUGGUCUUGCCGGUUUCUCCCUUCUGACGAACCACGAUGUCAUUAAUUUGGUGUCGUGGGGAAUCAGGACUGUUACUUUGAAAAAAUUAGAGUGUUUAAAGCAGGCAUUAGCUUGAAUACAUUAGCAUGGAAUAAUGAAAUAGGACGUUUGAUCUUAUUUUGUUGGUUUCUAGGAUCGACGUAAUGAUUAAUAGGGAUAGUUGGGGGCAUUAGUAUUCAAUUGUCAGAGGUGAAAUUCUUGGAUUUAUUGAAGACUAACUACUGCGAAAGCAUUUGCCAAGGAUGUUUUCAUUAAUCAAGAACGAAAGUUAGGGGAUCGAAGACGAUCAGAUACCGUCGUAGUCUUAACCAUAAACUAUGCCGACUAGGGAUCGGAUGAUGUUAAUUUUUUAAUGACUCAUUCGGCGCCUUACG